UUGACCUCGGAUCAGGUAGGGAUACCCGCUGAACUUAAGCAUAUCAAUAAGCGGAGGAAAAGAAACCAACAGGGAUUGCCCUAGUAACGGCGAGUGAAGCGGCAACAGCUCAAAUUUGAAAUCUGGCUCUUUCAGAGUCCGAGUUGUAAUUUGCAGAGGGCGCUUUGGCUUUGGCAGCGGUCCAAGUUCCUUGGAACAGGACGUCACAGAGGGUGAGAAUCCCGUACGUGGUCGCUAGCUAUUGCCGUGUAAAGCCCCUUCGACGAGUCGAGUUGUUUGGGAAUGCAGCUCUAAAUGGGAGGUAAAUUUCUUCUAAAGCUAAAUAUUGGCCAGAGACCGAUAGCGCACAAGUAGAGUGAUCGAAAGAUGAAAAGCACUUUGGAAAGAGAGUCAAACAGCACGUGAAAUUGUUGAAAGGGAAGCGCUUGCAGCCAGACUUGCUUGCAGUUGCUCAUCCGGGCUUUUGCCCGGUGCACUCUUCUGUAGGCAGGCCAGCAUCAGUUUGGGCGGUGGGAUAAAGGUCUCUGUCACGUACCUCUCUUCGGGGAGGCCUUAUAGGGGAGACGACAUACCACCAGCCUAGACUGAGGUCCGCG
RNAcentral lists this ribosomal RNA (596 nucleotides) under Bipolaris zeicola. Its description in RNAcentral is "eukaryotic LSU rRNA". It matches the Rfam family "Eukaryotic large subunit ribosomal RNA", at positions 1 to 599 of the family's 3401-position model. Lineage: Eukaryota; Fungi; Ascomycota; Dothideomycetes; Pleosporales; Pleosporaceae. The record is from RNAcentral.